Molecule: ribosomal RNA, 719 nt
Filed under: uncultured bacterium
Lineage: Bacteria
Description: bacterial SSU rRNA
Rfam family: Bacterial small subunit ribosomal RNA
Source: RNAcentral
GUCGAGGGGCAGCGGGGUAGUAAGCUUGCUUACUACUGCCGGCGACCGGCGCACGGGUGAGUAACACGUAUGCAACCUGGCCGUCACAGAGGGAUAACCGGGAGAAAUCCCGCCUAAUACCGCAUAAUACCGGGGAAGGACAUCCUUUUCCGGUCAAAGGAGCGAUCCGGUGACGGAUGGGCAUGCGCCGCAUUAGUUAGUUGGCGGUGUAACGGACCACCAAGACGACGAUGCGUAGGGGUUCUGAGAGGAAGGUCCCCCACACUGGUACUGAGACACGGACCAGACUCCUACGGGAGGCAGCAGUGAGGAAUAUUGGUCAAUGGGCGAGAGCCUGAACCAGCCAAGUCGCGUGAGGGAAGACGGUCCUAUGGAUUGUAAACCUCUUUUGCCGGGGAGCAAAAAGCGGUACGUGUACCGCAUCGAGAGUACCCGGAGAAAAAGCAUCGGCUAACUCCGUGCCAGCAGCCGCGGUAAUACGGAGGAUGCGAGCGUUAUCCGGAUUUAUUGGGUUUAAAGGGUGCGCAGGCGGCGAGUUAAGUCAGCGGUAAAAUUUCGGGGCUCAACCCCGACGAGCCGUUGAAACUGGCUUGCUAGAGUGGGCGAGAAGUAUGCGGAAUGCGUGGUGUAGCGGUGAAAUGCAUAGAUAUCACGCGGAACUCCGAUUGCGAAGGCAGCAUACCGGCGCCCAACUGACGCUCAGGCACGAAAGCGUGGGU